This 253-nucleotide ribosomal RNA is filed under the name uncultured bacterium. Its description in RNAcentral is "partial 16S ribosomal RNA". It matches the Rfam family "Bacterial small subunit ribosomal RNA", at positions 524 to 776 of the family's 1533-position model. The record is from RNAcentral.
UACGUAGGGGGCGAGCGUUAUCCGGAUUUACUGGGCGUAAAGCGCGUUAAGGCGGUUGGCAAAGUUGGUGGUGAAAUCUCAGGGCUCAACCCUGAAACUGCCUCCAAUACUGGUCGACUAGAGUGUGAGAGAGGAAGGUGGAAUUCCCGGUGUAGUAGUGAAAUGCGUAGAUAUCGGGAGGAACACCAGUGGCGAAGGCGGCCUUCUGGCUCACAACUGACGCUGUAGCGCGAAAGCGUGGGGAGCGAACGGG